Petromyzon marinus (sea lamprey) is the source of this 4318-nucleotide non-coding RNA. The record is from RefSeq and is a predicted model, not a curated record. Lineage: Eukaryota; Metazoa; Chordata; Hyperoartia; Petromyzontiformes; Petromyzontidae.
CACACGCGCUCUCAUAGACACACUCUCUCAUAGACACAAACACACUCUCAUAGACACACACACACUCUCUCGUAUUCGCAGUACGUUGUACGGCGAGCGCAGGCAGCAGUGGCGCCUGAAUUAUUGAAAUAGCAAAGCGUGGCCAAAAACAAUCAACACAGAGAGAGGUCCGGGCGGGACACGCUCGCACACACACACACUGUAUACACACACAUACACUCUGCACACACACACACCCCGUACACACACACACCGCACACACACACACCGCACACACACACCGUACACUCGCUGCGGCCCCUUCUGUCGUGAGGCUGAUGGUGCUACUGAUACUAACGAUGCUGCUACUGAUGCUGCUGUUACUGAUGCUGCUGAUGUUGCUGCUGCUCAUAAAUAUGAUGAUGCUACUGACGAUGUUACUGAUGGUGCUGCUGCGACUGAUGAUGCUGCUGAUGUUUUCUGCUCCUGUGGCGACUAAUGACGAUGACUGAUGAUGCUGCUGGUGCUAGAGAUGAUGAUAUGCUGCUGCGACUGCCGGUGCUUCUGAUGUUGAUAUUGUUGCUACCGCUGCGACGAAUGAUGCUGCUCCUGAUGAUGCUGCUGCUGAUGUUGCUACUACUGCUGCCACGAAUGAUGAGGAUGCUGCUGCUGCUCCUGAUGCUGCUGCUCCGGAUGAUGAUGAUGCUGCUGCGGAUGAUGAUGCUGCUGCUGCGCACACGCGGAGAACAGUGGCUCAGUGCGGGUACAGCUCCGCUAAAUCCCCACUGCUGCUGCUGCUGCAGAUGCUGCGCUCCAAGCACCAUGCCCGAGCUUUAGCGAGUCUCAAUCUCCUACCGCAUAUUCCAAACCCACGGUCCAUGGACUGCAUCGGUGCGAUCCACCACGCGGCAGUCGCGGCAGCCCACAGCCGCUGCAGUCAGCGGGCGACCGACAGCGGACGAAAGCGAAAUCUAAUCCGGAUGACGAAUCAAUGUAUCCGUAGAGAAGCGCAGACUCCGACCCACCACGGCCACCAGGCGGCUGGUACCACGCGCACAGCACGAGGGGCUGCUACACGCGCGCACUCUUAAACAGCUCCUCGUCUGGCUGGCCGGGACGAAGAGCGCGCACGACACGAGGAGUCAUGCUCGUGUCGCGGGCGGGCGUGCGGCCACCGCUACCACGCGCCGCCACUACGGCACAACAACAACAGCAGCACACGACAGCGGUGGAGGCCGAGGUGGCCACGGUGACGGUGCCGCAAUCUUUGGAAGAACGUAAUCAACCAGUCACUUGCGGAGACAAGGUUGCUCACCGCAGAAGACCUUCCCGGAGGAGACGCGCGACGGCUGUUUGUGUGGUGCCGCCGUGACGGAGCAGCUCCGUCGGGGGCCCCUUACCGCCGUGACACCACCACCAGGGGGUGACAACCCACCCCCCCUCCGCACGAACGCACACACACCUCGUGUAGAGCCGGGAGGGAAGGUCACCUGGCCGACGGGUUUUUAUUCAGAAGCCCCUAAUGGGAUCAAGCUUCAUGGUUUUCUGCGGCCGGGAAAUUGGGUGAUCUUCCCCCGUGGCUGACAUGCACCGUGGCGCCGUGACCUGAUAUUAAAGUUACGUGGUCACGGCAGAGGCCGUUGAGCCACCGCGAGUAAAACCGCACACACACAAGCACGAGUCAGGAGGCCAAGGGGGUGCGGAUCGGAAUGCCUUUGUUAGGAUCAGGGAUCUAGAUAACAAAGGGAUAAGAAUAGCCGACAUCUGAAUGGACAGGGCGGCACGAGGCAGGGGAACAGCGAUACGCCUUUGUCAGGUAGAAUUAGGGACCCCAAUAAGAACGGGACUGGAGCAUUCCGAAAUCUGAAUGGACAAGGCAGCACGGAGCGUGAGAACAGCGGAACGCUUUUGUUACAGGUAAGAUUACGGAUCCGAAUGUGAAAGAGACGAGAAUAACUCGGCCUCUGAAUGGACAGGGCAAGCACGGGUGUGGAAGCAUCUGAAUACCUUUUGUUCUAGAUAAGGUCACAGAUCCGAAUAUGAAAGGCAAGGGCGAGCAAGUGCAGGAUGUGCGAUACCUUUUGUGAUAGGUAGGAUAAAAACGCAGAGGCUUAGAGUAGCGAGACAAGAGUUCUUCUUCAAUAUCAUCGUGGUCCACGGAGCAGGGGAGCCAGCCGUUCGAGACGUCCGUGUGACGAGCUUCAGCGCAGCCAGGCUCAACCCUCUAUGGAGACGACCCGCAGCCUCGCCCUUCUACAUCCGUCAGCGCAGCAGAGUGGAAGUAAGCGUGAGUAAGAGAGAGAGGUAAGUUGGAGGCUAUUUAAUGGAGGGUAGAAAGUGGAGCGAUAGGCAGGGUGAAUUGAGCCUAGGAUUCCCGAAGGAUAGGCUAGGGGGCCUGCUGACUCACACAAUCACACGUAGUUAACGGGUUACUCGCGGUUAAUAAAAUAACUGGUAGGGGGACAAACUGGGUCGUGUGGUCUUUUGGAGGGUGAAGAGAAGGGUGGAGAGUGUUUUGUGUUCGCGCGCAUACGCGGCUGUUUACGGUGGUGUUUAGCGCUCGCGUACCCGUACGACCGAUUACGGCAGUCCUUAGCGUGCGCGUGCCUACGCGGCUGUUUACGGUGGUGGUUAGCGCUUGCGUACCCGUGCGGCUGUUUGCGGCGAAUAAGGGAGUGUAGCGCUUAGCGCUCGCGUGCCUGUGCGACUGUGUUGCGGUCGCGUGUCUGCGCGAUUGCCUAUAGCGAGGUAGCGAGCUAAGCGCCUGACGUGCGCGUAUUCACACGACUGUUUAAACGGCCCUUUAAAUCGGAGCGGAGCGACUCCCCCCAAUCCGCAGCACGCGCACGGCAGACGCCCCUGGCCCCCCACCCCCGACUCCCCACUCCCUCGCGUGUGAUUGGUGCCCGGGGCUCGGCAGGGAGCAGCAUCGAAGUUGUUAUUGCCUGAGCGCGUAGAGCAUGUGUGUGAGGGAAUCAUGUAUUGGCGCGCCGCACCUGUUCGUUCACGUGCGGGACGGGGUUUUACUUUGCGAGCACGCUCACCGCAGCACGCCACCGAUCUCGCGUAGCGCGCCGUAAGCGCAAAGCGUACGAGUCGCCAAUUGAAACAUGCCCACGCGGGCAGCCGCAAAGUCGGGGGCGCAAGAGGGCGAAGAAUUAGGGGUUGGUAGCCCGGACGUCACAGAACAGCCGGGGGGUAGUGGGACGAAUUUAGCGGGGGAGUCGGGGGACCACGGCCCCGACAAUUCGGUGAUGGCGGGGGAUGGUAGCCCCCACAUUUGCACACCCAGCUACUCUCUCAGCUGUUGGUCACGACCGUGCGACGUGCCAGACAAGAGUGGUGAUGAACAGUUUCUCUGCUGACGAGCUGCGAGCGCUGGGCCUGCGUGGUCCCUGCACACCCCUUCUGCAAUUCGGGUCUGGCGUACAGACCACCUGCAAGCUUUUAAUCCAGAAGGCGAUGGCGAGCUGGUAGCGUGCUGAUGCGAGAAUGCCAAGCACACUCCCGCUGUGGACUGACUUGACAGGCAGACAGCCCCGAGUGGAUGCCAAGCUGUAGGCUCGCAACAUCCAAGACUACCAAUCAAUGCUCCCUCGUGGGGCCCGAGGUAUUUUCGGUACAGAGAAGAACAGAAGACUGACUCUUACACACACACCACGUGACCAUACCGCUUGCUUGUGGUGACACGAUCCUUAUGCAAGGAUCACACAUAGACGAACUUACGCCACACUAUGCGUUAUAACUAGCGCAAUUGGCAUGAUUGCCCCCGACACACACACAACACGCAUAUCAGUGCGAAUAUUGGUUUUGAGGUGUUAACUGUUUAAUUUUAAUCUUGCAAUUCGAUUGGUGGCAUGCUGUGUUAACCAUUCGAAAGCAUUGCGUUUUUAUUAACCUGUACGCGUGCAUAAAUAUGGUUGUUUAGAGGCGCUAGCCGUUGUUUUCUUGAUCGCAUCGUCUAAUGAUUGGUGGCUGCUGUGUUAACCCUUUGAUAAGCAUUGUGUUUUCCUGUGCGUAUGCAAGGAAAUUGUUGUUUAGAUGCGAGCCAUUGUAUGUUAAUCACGUAAUCGUCCGACUCGAUCGUUGAUGUUUCCCUAACCAGUUUAGAAGUCAUUUACCCACACAUUCGGAACGAAUACUGCCAUUUUGCGGCUUUGCCUAUUGUUCUGAUCACGUGAUCAUGUGAUCUGACCAUUAAUGCUUUUAUGAUCAUCCAGUACGGAUUGCUGAGUUACGUAUUUUUGCAUGGGCACUGUUGUCGGUAUUCUGAUGAUAAGGGCUUGAUGUCAGAGUAAGUGAGAUUGAAGUUGCUUAGAUUAAAACAGGUUUCUGAGUG